UGAAAGUUUUAUUCUAGCUUAUGAAUUUGGUUUUUAAAUUGGUUUAUAUGUAAGCUUUAGCAUUUACCUUAUAUUUUUUAGAUAGAUUUAUAAAUUAUUAUUUCUAUUAAGUUCGCAGUAUAGAAUUUUGAAUAUGGAAGAAAUUUUGAUUUAGGGGUUUUUAAUAGUACUGACAAAAUUUGUGCCAGCAGUUGCGGUUAUACAAAUAGUGCAACUAAAUUUGUUUAGUUAAUAGUAAGAGUAUUAGUCAUAGUGUAGUUGUAGGUUUAUUAGGUGAAAUUUUAAAUUGGAGUUAUACUAGAAAAAUGAGCUUGAGGCUGUGAGAUUCUUUUAAUAAACUAGGAUUAGAUACCCUAUUAUUGGGAAUGUAAAUAUAAAUACUUGAAUAUUAGUAGUUAUGUGCUUGAAAUUUAAAGAAUUUGGCGGUAUUCUAGCCUGUUCAGAGGAACCUGCCCUGUAAUUGAUGGUCCACGAUUAAUUGUACUUAUUUUAAAGGUUUGUAUAUCGUCGUAGUUUGAAUGUUUUAAAAGAAUUGUAAUGUUCAAGAUUCAUUGUUAAGUGAGGGAAAUCAGAUCAAGGUACAGCGUAUAGGUAAGUAGAGGUGGGUUACAAUAAAUUGAUUUAUAUGGUUAUUAUAAUUAAAAUUAUAGUAUAAAGUGGAUUUGAAAGUAAAGUGAUUAAAUUAAAUUGUUUGAUUUUAGCUCUAGAAUAUGCACAUAUCGCCCGUCGCUCCCCCUCUAAAGUGGGAUAAGUCGUAACAUAGUAGGUGUACUGGAAAGUGUACCUAGUAAGG
RNAcentral lists this non-coding RNA (793 nucleotides) under Polyphylla gracilicornis. Lineage: Eukaryota; Metazoa; Arthropoda; Insecta; Coleoptera; Scarabaeidae. The record is from RNAcentral.